This 375-nucleotide ribosomal RNA is filed under the name uncultured bacterium. Its description in RNAcentral is "bacterial SSU rRNA". It matches the Rfam family "Bacterial small subunit ribosomal RNA", at positions 28 to 405 of the family's 1533-position model. The record is from RNAcentral.
GAUGAACGCUAGCGGCAGGCCUAACACAUGCAAGUCGAGGGGUAGAGGAAGCUUGCUUCCUUGAGACCGGCGCACGGGUGCGUAACGCGUAUGCAAUCUACCUUAUACAGGGGAAUAGCCCAGAGAAAUUUGGAUUAAUGCCCCAUAGUGUUAUUGAAUCGCAUGGUUUAGUAACUAAAGUUCCAACGGUAUAAGAUGAGCAUGCGUCCCAUUAGUUAGUUGGUAAGGUAACGGCUUACCAAGACGAUGAUGGGUAGGGGUCCUGAGAGGGAGAUCCCCCACACUGGUACUGAGACACGGACCAGACUCCUACGGAGGCAGCAGUGAGGAAUAUUGGUCAAUGGGCGCAAGCCUGAACCAGCCAUGCCGCGUGCA